AGGGUUGUAGUUAAAUAUAACAUUUAAUUUGCAUUUAAAAAGUAUUGAUUUUUCAUUCUUCCUUG
This 65-nucleotide transfer RNA is filed under the name Dialysis sp. KW-2016. RNAcentral describes it as "tRNA-Ala". It matches the Rfam family "tRNA". From Rfam's summary of the family: Transfer RNA (tRNA) molecules are approximately 80 nucleotides in length. Lineage: Eukaryota; Metazoa; Arthropoda; Insecta; Diptera; Xylophagidae. The record is from RNAcentral.